Hyaena hyaena (striped hyena) is the source of this 670-nucleotide long non-coding RNA. RefSeq lists it as uncharacterized. The transcript is spliced from 2 exons. NCBI's taxonomy places the organism in Eukaryota, Metazoa, Chordata, Mammalia, Carnivora, Hyaenidae. The record is from RefSeq and is a predicted model, not a curated record.
UUUUUUGCUGGCACUGUGUCUCCUGUCUGACACUUCUGAAAUUGGAGGGAGGGAGGGGUGGCAUUGUAAGCCUGGGUAUUCAGAGGUAUAAUAGGCCAGCUGAGCUGAAGGGAGAAUGCUUAACAUUUGUUCCUUUAGCUGUGAUUCUAUCAGCCCCUGUUUUCAUGUUGAUUGUCCAGAGCACUCUUUGCGGGCAAUUUUCCCUUUUGAAAAUGUGUCCUCUGGAUGCUUUCUUUGAUACGGUACAGCUCUCUCACACAGCGUCCUGAGCAGUUUUCAGAUUGUUCGUGGAUUUCUUGAUAUUGCAGUUCAUAAUAUAUACAAAGAAGGUUUUUAUAAUAUAGGUCAUGUUUUCUCCCUCUGCCUUGAAGGUUCCAUGGAGAUAUGCCUUUCAGAAGAUAAGGAAAAGAAAUAGCGGGGAAUGUUCCUAACUGGCUCUUCUGUAGUUCCUAUAAGAAUCUUCUUGCAACACAUCCACGUGCUGGUGGCUGAGGAAAAUGAUUUUGUUUCUUCUUUGAAGACCUAGAUUUACUCCCAUCUAUGUGACAACAUGAGAUCAUACAGAUGUCUGGAGAGAGAAUGAAUGGUGUGGGAAUAAUUUAUUAAUCCCUCUACCUCCUUUUUGACCUGCUCCAAGAAUAAUCCAUUAAAAAUCUACCUGAAAGAAUUA